RNAcentral lists this long non-coding RNA (529 nucleotides) under Oryza sativa Indica Group (long-grained rice). RNAcentral describes it as "lncRNA OsMH63_04G009640". Lineage: Eukaryota; Viridiplantae; Streptophyta; Magnoliopsida; Poales; Poaceae. The record is from RNAcentral.
AUGCAAGACCUCUUCUUUUCAGCAACAGAAAGUGUGGUAGGUGAUGGAAGGAACACAGAUUUCUGGAGGACCAAUUGGCUAGCAGGGGAGUCAUUAAAUCUGCACGGCCAACUUAUUUCAGUUAUCAGCAAAACUGAUCCGACGAAUCACAGAUGGGUGAGGGACAUUCAGGGGGCUCUGUCAAAAAGGGCGAUAGGUGAUCAGUUUGAUCUCUGGGAUGCCAUUCAGGAUGUUGAGUUACGUCCAGAGGAAUGGGACAGGACAAUCUGGAAGAUGGCAGUGGAUGGGCAAUUCUCUGUUUCGUCGGCCUACAGUAUUCAUUACCAAAAUGAGAGUGUGUUGUGGCAAACUGAUCUGGCAAACAAAGGUUCUGGUGAGGGUGAAAUUAUUUAUGUGGUUGGCAGAAAAAUGGCGAUGUCUCCCAGCGGACAAUCUACUGAAGAGAGGAUGACCUCAACAGCAGGCAUGCAUGCUCUCUCUGUAUGGUGGCGAAUGAGGAUUAUCGCCAUCUGUUUGUGAAUUGUACUAC